GCCCCCAUAGCUCUAAUGGCAGAGCGUCGCUCUCGUAAAGCGAAGGUCGAGAGUUCGAAUCUCUCUGUGGGCA
RNAcentral lists this transfer RNA (73 nucleotides) under Absidia repens. It matches the Rfam family "tRNA". From Rfam's summary of the family: Transfer RNA (tRNA) molecules are approximately 80 nucleotides in length. Their secondary structure includes four short double-helical elements and three loops (D, anti-codon, and T loops). Further hydrogen bonds mediate the characteristic L-shaped molecular structure. tRNAs have two regions of fundamental functional importance: the anti-codon, which is responsible for specific mRNA codon recognition, and the 3' end, to which the tRNAs corresponding amino acid is attached (by aminoacyl-tRNA synthetases). tRNAs cope with the degeneracy of the genetic code in two manners: having more than one tRNA (with a specific anti-codon) for a particular amino acid; and 'wobble' base-pairing, i.e. permitting non-standard base-pairing at the 3rd anti-codon position. Lineage: Eukaryota; Fungi; Mucoromycota; Mucoromycetes; Mucorales; Cunninghamellaceae. RNAcentral also lists the same sequence under 1 other name. The record is from Rfam by way of RNAcentral.